UGGGGAAUAUUGCACAAUGGGCGAAAGCCUGAUGCAGCGACGCCGCGUGAGUGAAGAAGUAUUUCGGUAUGUAAAGCUCUAUCAGCAGGGAAGAAAAUGACGGUACCUGACUAAGAAGCCCCGGCUAACUACGUGCCAGCAGCCGCGGUAAUACGUAGGGGGCAAGCGUUAUCCGGAUUUACUGGGUGUAAAGGGAGCGUAGACGGCGAAGCAAGUCUGAAGUGAAAACCCAGGGCUCAACCCUGGGACUGCUUUGGAAACUGUUUUGCUAGAGUGACGGAGAGGUAAGUGAAAUUCCUAGUGUAGCGGUGAAAUGCGUAGAUAUUAGGAGGAACACCAGUGGCGAAGGCGGCUUACUGGACGAUAACUGACGUUGAGGCUCGAAAGCGUGGGGAGCAAACAGG
This 404-nucleotide ribosomal RNA is filed under the name Fusobacteriota bacterium. RNAcentral's name for it is "Fusobacteria bacterium partial 16S ribosomal RNA". It matches the Rfam family "Bacterial small subunit ribosomal RNA", at positions 355 to 776 of the family's 1533-position model. The record is from RNAcentral. Lineage: Bacteria; Fusobacteriati; Fusobacteriota.